AUGAUGAAAUUCCAUGAAUUGAAAGAAAAUUACCUUUAAGGUCAUUAAUCAUUCUGACAAUUCCACUUUCAUUGCUUGUGCAUGUGACAAGGCCUGGGCCAGCAGUUGCUGGGUAUAUAAAGCUGAAGAGUAGUGCAAAACUUCACAACACGUUUUUUUAACAACCUUCAACAUGCGUUUCUUUGGAAAUAUUCUAAUUUUAUUGGCUAUUGUGGCCAUGGCAUUGGGUCAGCAACAAUCUCCUCCUGCUGAUAACGAGAAUGCAUCCAAUGCCGAAUCCCAACCAAGGGAAGAUCCCGCCAAGAUUAGAUUCUCCAUUGAAUUUGGAAAAUAAAAACUUUAUGGAAAUUGUGUUCUGAUUUAUGUGAAAUAAAAGAAAAAUGUACAUUUAA
Molecule: long non-coding RNA, 392 nt
Organism: Musca domestica (house fly)
Lineage: Eukaryota; Metazoa; Arthropoda; Insecta; Diptera; Muscidae
Exons: 2
Source: RefSeq, a predicted model, not a curated record